AGGCAGCAGUGGGGAAUAUUGCACAAUGGGCGCAAGCCUGAUGCAGCCAUGCCGCGUGUAUGAAGAAGGCCUUCGGGUUGUAAAGUACUUUCAGCGGGGAGGAAGGCGUAGGUUAAUAACCUCAUCGAUUGACGUUACCCGCAGAAGAAGCACCGGCUAACUCCGUGCCAGCAGCCGCGGUAAUACGGAGGGUGCAAGCGUUAAUCGGAAUUACUGGGCGUAAAGCGCACGCAGGCGGUCUGUCAAGUCGGAUGUGAAAUCCCCGGGCUCAACCUGGGAACUGCAUUCGAAACUGGCAGG
This 300-nucleotide ribosomal RNA is filed under the name uncultured Enterobacter sp. Its description in RNAcentral is "bacterial SSU rRNA". It matches the Rfam family "Bacterial small subunit ribosomal RNA", at positions 346 to 640 of the family's 1533-position model. The record is from RNAcentral. Lineage: Bacteria; Pseudomonadati; Pseudomonadota; Gammaproteobacteria; Enterobacterales; Enterobacteriaceae.